GGUAAGGUGGCCGAGCCUAGGCGGCGGGUUGUAACCCCGCAAACAGAGGUAGUAUCCUCUUCUUACCA
RNAcentral lists this transfer RNA (68 nucleotides) under Heleophryne regis (royal ghost frog). Its description in RNAcentral is "tRNA-Tyr". Lineage: Eukaryota; Metazoa; Chordata; Amphibia; Anura; Heleophrynidae. The record is from RNAcentral.